GCAGUCAUGGCCUAAUGGUUAGAGAGUUUCACCUUGUAACCCAAAGGUGAACCUGAAGGUUGUGGGUUCAAAUCUCAGGUGCUGCA
This is a non-coding RNA of Pangasius djambal, 86 nucleotides long. NCBI's taxonomy places the organism in Eukaryota, Metazoa, Chordata, Actinopteri, Siluriformes, Pangasiidae. The record is from the annotation of a GenBank genome assembly.